Molecule: non-coding RNA, 24 nt
Filed under: Arabidopsis thaliana (thale cress)
Lineage: Eukaryota; Viridiplantae; Streptophyta; Magnoliopsida; Brassicales; Brassicaceae
Source: RNAcentral
UGUAUGCAAAAAACUAGGUGCAUC